CCUACGGGUGGCAGCAGUGGGGGAUAUUGCACAAUGGGGGAAACCCUGAUGCAGCGACGCCGCGUGGGUGAAGGAGGCUUUCGGGGCGUAAAACUCUAUCCUCAGGGAAGAUAAUGACGGUACCUGACCAAGAAGCCCCGGCUAACUACGUGCCAGCAGCCGCGGUAAUACGUAGGGGGCACGCGUUAUCCGGAUUUACUGGGUGUAAAGGGGGCGUAGGCGGCAUUACAAGGCAGGAGUGAAAGGCCGAGGCCUAACCCCGGGACUGCUUUUGAAACUGGAAGGCUGGAGUGCAGGAGGGGAGAGCGGAAUUCCUAGUGUAGCGGUGAAAUGCGUAGAUAUUAGGAGGAACACCGGUGGCGAAGGCGGCCUACUGGACUGUAACUGACGUUGAGGCACGAAAGCGUGGGGAGCAAACAGGAUUAGAUACCCCUGUAGUC
RNAcentral lists this ribosomal RNA (440 nucleotides) under uncultured bacterium. RNAcentral describes it as "partial 16S ribosomal RNA". It matches the Rfam family "Bacterial small subunit ribosomal RNA", at positions 338 to 795 of the family's 1533-position model. The record is from RNAcentral.